Molecule: ribosomal RNA, 481 nt
Filed under: uncultured bacterium
Lineage: Bacteria
Description: partial 16S ribosomal RNA
Rfam family: Bacterial small subunit ribosomal RNA
Source: RNAcentral
GACGAACGCUGGCGGCGUGCUUAACACAUGCAAGUCGAGCGGAAAGGCCACUUCGGUGGUACUCGAGCGGCGAACGGGUGAGUAACACGUGAGUAAUCUGCCCCUGGCUUUGGGAUAGCCACCGGAAACGGUGAUUAAUACCGGAUACGACCACUUCUCGCAUGGGAUGGUGGUGGAUAGUUUUUUCGGCCAGGGAUGUGCUCGCGGCCUAUCAGCUUGAUGGCGAGGUAAUGGCUCACCAUGGCUUCGACGGGUAGCCGGCCUGAGAGGGUGACCGGUCACACUUGGACUGAGACACGGCCCAGACUCCUACGGGAGGCAGCAGUGGGGAAUAUUGGACAAUGGGCGGAAGCCUGAUCCAGCAACGCCGCGUGAGGGAUGACGGCCUUCGGGUUGUAAACCUCUUUCAGCAGGGACGAAGCGCAAGUGACGGUACCUGCAGAAGAAGCACCGGCCAACUACGUGCCAGCCGCCGCAGUAA